UUUUUAUAACACAUUUUAAUAAUAAUAAAGAGAAAGAUGCUUUUAAUACAACUUUCAACAAUGGAUCUCUUGGCUCUCGCAUCGAUGAAGAACGCAGCGAAUUGCGAUAAGUAAUGUGAAUUGCACACCCCCCCUUUUAUUUCAGUGAAUCAUCGAAUCUUCGAACGCACCUUGCGCUACUUGGUUUUCCAAGGAGCAUGCCUGUUUGAGUGUCAUUUACAUUUCUCAACAUAAGUUGGAUUUUGGAGCAUGCCGGGGAGAGGUUCGGCUACUCUUGAAAGUAUGAAGGAAAGAAAAGGCUGAUAGUUGUCUAUAUUGCCUUACCUUUCCGAUAGUUAGGGGCUAGCCCCCUAUUUACCAUGUGACCUCAAAUCAGGUAGGACUACCCGCUGAACUUAAGCAUAUCAAUAAGCGGAGGAA
Molecule: ribosomal RNA, 420 nt
Filed under: Russula sp. G3012
Lineage: Eukaryota; Fungi; Basidiomycota; Agaricomycetes; Russulales; Russulaceae
Description: eukaryotic LSU rRNA
Rfam family: 5.8S ribosomal RNA (bases 50-215)
Source: RNAcentral